CUUGGCAAUUAGUACAGCUGCAACUCCUCAGGGGUGAGAUUGUCUUCUGCACUGUCUCUGUUCUCUUACAUUCCAUCCUCCCACACCUUCCAACCCAAACCACCCCAUUCUAUGAUGUUAUGCUCUUGUCAAAAGUCCCUCUCCAACUUCAUUGCAGGAUCAUUUCAGGAACUGGAAGUCUGUAAUUAGGUGCUUCCUAAAGCCUUCUCUUUGCUGGGCUGAACAAUUCCAGUUCUCUCAGCCUUUCUUCAUAGUAGAGGUGCUCCAUCUCUCAUCCUCUUGAUGGCCACUUCCAGACUCUCUCCAACAGGUGCUUCCCGGUCCGCAGGCCGAGCCAAGCCCAGCCCUCGCUGCUGUCCCUGGCUUUGGGCUGUAAAGGAUGCUCCGCUCUGCUCCAGCGCCGAGUGGUCUUGUGGUGCCCCGGAGGACACAGCAGCACGGACAAGAGACUGACUUCUCGACUUUUUACCUCUUUAGGUGUGACUGGAGUCUCUAAAAAUUUGCCUCAGUGCUGGGAAGGUGUGGGGCAAAAAACUGCUUUGAAACUGUAAAAAAAGAGUUUGUGUUUUUGAAUGUAGCAUGGAUAUCACAGACGAAUGUUUAAGUAUCAUUGGUCUCUUGAAAAAUAAUAUUUCUGUAGGUUGCAAUUAAUUUAGGAUGUUUGCAAUUUUGUGAAAAUUUUACAUAUUCUCUUUUCUUAGAGAGCAAAUGUAUGUAUUUACUGAAGCCAUUCCGUAUAUAGAAGGUGAUUAACUUUCUAUGAAAGUUGAAGCAGACUAUUACAUAUGCCCAGAGAGGUGGUAGAUGUCUCAUCCCUGGCAACAUUCAAGGUGAGGUCGGGCAGGGCUCUGAGCACCCUGAUGUGGUUGAAGAUGUCCUGCUCAUUACAGGGACAUUGACUGGAUGAGAAUUAAAGGUCCCUUGCAACCCAGACCAAACUCCUGCCUUGCAUGGAAAACUAUCUGUACCUGCAGUGUACUUUGAGAGCCCAAUGAAAGAUCAAUGUCCUGGAAGGACUAUCAGA
Passer domesticus (house sparrow) is the source of this 1024-nucleotide long non-coding RNA. RefSeq lists it as uncharacterized. The transcript is spliced from 2 exons. The record is from RefSeq and is a predicted model, not a curated record. Lineage: Eukaryota; Metazoa; Chordata; Aves; Passeriformes; Passeridae.